AGGACGAACGCUGGCGGCGUGCUUAACACAUGCAAGUCGAACGAGGUGCUUCGGCACUUAGUGGCGAACGGGUGAGUAACACGUGAGCAACCUGCCCUUGGCUCUGGGAUAGCCUCCGGAAACGGGGAUUAAUACCGGACAUGACCUUCUCCUGCAUGGGGGAGGGUGGAAAGUUUUUCGGCCAGGGAGGGGCUCGCGGCCUAUCAGCUUGUUGGUGGGGUAAAGGCCCACCAAGGCGACGACGGGUAG
RNAcentral lists this ribosomal RNA (249 nucleotides) under uncultured bacterium. RNAcentral describes it as "partial small subunit ribosomal RNA". It matches the Rfam family "Bacterial small subunit ribosomal RNA", at positions 26 to 286 of the family's 1533-position model. The record is from RNAcentral.